GGAGCGGUGUCUGAGUGGUCGAAAGAGGCGGUCUUGAAAACCGUUGAGCCGCAAGGUUCCGGGGGUUCGAAUCCCCCCUGCUCCG
This 85-nucleotide transfer RNA is filed under the name Candidatus Gallitreponema excrementavium. RNAcentral describes it as "tRNA-Ser". It matches the Rfam family "tRNA". From Rfam's summary of the family: Transfer RNA (tRNA) molecules are approximately 80 nucleotides in length. Their secondary structure includes four short double-helical elements and three loops (D, anti-codon, and T loops). The record is from RNAcentral. Lineage: Bacteria; Pseudomonadati; Spirochaetota; Spirochaetia; Spirochaetales.